This 253-nucleotide ribosomal RNA is filed under the name uncultured bacterium. RNAcentral describes it as "partial 16S ribosomal RNA". It matches the Rfam family "Bacterial small subunit ribosomal RNA", at positions 524 to 776 of the family's 1533-position model. The record is from RNAcentral.
UACGUAGGGUGCAAGCGUUAAUCGGAAUUACUGGGCGUAAAGCGUGCGCAGGCGGCUUUGCAAGACAGAUGUGAAAUCCCCGGGCUCAACCUGGGAACUGCAUUUGGGACUGCAAGGCUUGAGUACGGCAGAGGGGGGUAGAAUUCCUGGUGUAGCAGUGAAAUGCGUAGAUAUCAGGAGGAAUACCGAUGGCGAAGGCAGCCCCCUGGGUCGAUACUGACGCUCAUGCACGAAAGCGUGGGGAGCAAACAGG